RNAcentral lists this ribosomal RNA (233 nucleotides) under uncultured bacterium. RNAcentral's name for it is "partial 16S ribosomal RNA". It matches the Rfam family "Bacterial small subunit ribosomal RNA", at positions 102 to 334 of the family's 1533-position model. The record is from RNAcentral.
CACGGGUGAGUAACACGUAUCCAACCUGCCGUCUACUCUUGGACAGCCUUCUGAAAGGAAGAUUAAUACAAGAUGGCAUCAUGAGUCCGCAUGUUCACAUGAUUAAAGGUAUUCCGGUAGACGAUGGGGAUGCGUCCCAUUAGAUAGUAGGCGGGGUAACGGCCCACCUAGUCUUCGAUGGAUAGGGGUUCUGAGAGGAAGGUCCCCCACAUUGGAACUGAGACACGGUCCAA